GGCGCAGUCGCUCUGCUGGUCAUGGGCAGCCUGACCUUCACUCAGGACCUCCGUCGGUUCGAUUCCGACCUGCGUCA
This 77-nucleotide transfer RNA is filed under the name Nocardia sp. SYP-A9097. Its description in RNAcentral is "tRNA-Glu". Lineage: Bacteria; Bacillati; Actinomycetota; Actinomycetes; Mycobacteriales; Nocardiaceae. The record is from RNAcentral.